Stegodyphus dumicola is the source of this 73-nucleotide non-coding RNA. The record is from the annotation of a RefSeq genome assembly. Lineage: Eukaryota; Metazoa; Arthropoda; Arachnida; Araneae; Eresidae.
GCCUUCGUAGUGCAGUGGUCAGCACGCUGGGAUCGUAUUCCAGAGGUCCGUGGUUCGAUUCCCUGCGAAGGCG